GGAUUGUAAACUUCUUUUAUUAAGGACGAAAAAUGACGGUACUUAAUGAAUAAGCUCCGGCUAACUACGUGCCAGCAGCCGCGGUAAUACGUAGGGAGCAAGCGUUGUCCGGAUUUACUGGGUGUAAAGGGUGCGUAGGCGGCUUUGCAAGUCAGAUGUGAAAUCUAUGGGCUCAACCCAUAAACUGCAUUUGAAACUGUAGAGCUUGAGUGAGGUAGAGGCAGGCGGAAUUCCCCGUGUAGCGGUGAAAUGCGUAGAGAUGGGGAGGAACACCAGUGGCGAAGGCGGCCUGCUGGGCUUUAACUGACGCUGAGGCACGAAAGCGUGGGUAGCAAACAGGAUUAGAUACCCUGGUAGUCCACGCUGUAAACGAUGAUUAUUAGGUGUGGGGGGUCUGACCCCUUCCGUGCCGGAGUUAACACAAUAAGUAAUCCACCUGGGGAGUA
RNAcentral lists this ribosomal RNA (446 nucleotides) under uncultured bacterium. RNAcentral describes it as "bacterial SSU rRNA". It matches the Rfam family "Bacterial small subunit ribosomal RNA", at positions 420 to 882 of the family's 1533-position model. The record is from RNAcentral.